Molecule: unclassified non-coding RNA, 367 nt
Filed under: uncultured fungus
Lineage: Eukaryota; Fungi
Description: sequence contains ITS1
Rfam family: 5.8S ribosomal RNA (bases 1-84)
Source: RNAcentral
GAAAUGCGAUACGUAAUGUGAAUUGCAGAAUUCAGUGAAUCAUCGAAUCUUUGAACGCUUAUUGAUAUGCUUGUUUGAGUAUCUGUAAACAUCUCAAAUCUCUCUUCGCUUGCGUCGAGAGAAUUGGAUUUGAGCGAUCCCGACUCCUUCGUCAGAAAGAGGAGGGUCGCUUGAAAUGCAGGUACCAGCUGGACAUUCUUCUGAGCUAAAAGCAUAUCUAUUUAGUCCCGUCAAACGGAUUAUUACUUUUGCUUCAGCUAAUAUAAAGGUCGAAUGAACUACCAACGCUGAUUGCAGGAAAACUUGUUCGUUUAUUCGGACUUGUAAACUCGAUCUCAAAUCAAGUAAGACUACCCGCUGAACUUAA